GAACUCUGGUUUCUCUUCAGAUCAUAUAAAUCUUUCACCUUUUACUAAAGAUUUCCGUGAAGAGGAACACUCAGAGUUUUGAUUAAUUUUUUGAUGUCCUACCUUUGUGGGGCU
Molecule: small nuclear RNA, 114 nt
Organism: Carcharodon carcharias (great white shark)
Lineage: Eukaryota; Metazoa; Chordata; Chondrichthyes; Lamniformes; Lamnidae
Product: U5 spliceosomal RNA
Exons: 1
Source: RefSeq, a predicted model, not a curated record